GGCUCUGACCUGGUUCUUCUGGCUGCUCUCUCUCCAUCCGGAAGUGGAGCGGAAGAUCUUGAGCGAGCUCGAGAAAAUCCGGAAGCAAAGCGGGAAGAGUUCUGGCGACCCGUACAGUAUCCAUGAACUGAGGGACAUGCACUACCUGCACGCGGCCAUCUCGGAGGCGAUGCGGUUGUAUCCGCCUGUGCCGGUGGACACAAAGGCCUGCCUGGAGGACGACGUCUUGCCGGACGGGACCUUCAUUGGGAAGGGCUGGUUCCUUUCGUAUGACACGCACGCGAUGGGAAGGAUGGAUGGGAUAUGGGGUGAGAACUGCCACGAGUUUGUCCCCGAGAGGUGGAUCGACGAGAGCGGGUUGUGCCGGACGGAGAGCCCGUUCAAGUACCCAGUUUUCCACGCGGGCCCGAGGAUGUGCCUCGGGAAGGACAUGGCGUUCAUCCAGAUGAAGUCGAUUGCCGCCUCCGUGCUGGAGAGGUUCGAGAUCGACGUGCUGGGUCAAGACGCGACCCGCGAGCACCAGCUGUCAUUGACGCUGAGGAUGAAGGGUGGACUUCCCGUGAGGGUGCGGAAGAGAUGCAUGGACUGAUAUCCUCCAUUGAGCUGCUGGUUGGCAAGAACAAAAUGGAUUCGCAAGCAUGUGAUGUAUAUGAAUAAUCUGUGUUUGUUUUUCUUACCGCGUAUUUAACUUUCUCAAAAGUUCCCAUGGUGGAAGCAAAGCUAAAGCAUUCCUUAAUCUCGACGAGACACCGCCUCUGGUGCCAAUAGCCAGAUGCAUCGAUCCAUGGAUAGAUCGAUCAAGCAUUUUGGAUCUCCAGAUACAACAAAGUUGCGCUUAGAGAAAUUUCGAAUAGGCAGUACGAUCGUGAAAUCCAAAGCAUAUGCUCCUUUUUUCAACCCUCUUCAUAAGGAUUAGGUUCGCAGUAUCAUACAUUUUAGAGUUCAUUGUGAUGAACGAGCUUAAGAUGUAAUGAGGUAAAUGUUUCGUGAGACGGUAGAUUGUACCAAUGAGCUUACACCGACAAGAGAUUGUAGAUUUCCUAAGGCAGUGAAAUUAAGGUUGAUUGUAAAAAAAUUUGUCAAGAGUUAACAUGGAUCAACUUCAUUCAUUGAUAUAAUCAACCAAACCAGUCACGAUGUCAUUGUCCUAGUUGAGAAGCAGAGUACUGAUAGAUUCCCAAUCGACACCGAACGCCCCUGGCCUUACCGGCAACUGUAUAUAUACGUGCAUAUAUGUAGUUUCAUCCAAAUUCAGGAAAUUGUGUCAUCACUCCUUUUGUAAGCCUCGCCCGAUAUGAUGCUUCUCUUCAUUGUACAAAAGCCUCUUACUUCUCCCUCAUUUCCCCCCUCUAUCUUUACUUCUGUUACCACACUACUGCAGCUCGAAAGAAGAUCGUUAGCAAUGGAGGUCUGAUGAAUUACCCUUCCAAUAGGGUGCCUGCCAAGGUUCGUCAAGAACAUGCGUCGUGUCCUUGAUUGGAUCUCCAUGAUACUCGCCGCUAGCCCCACCAAAUCCGCCAUCUUUCGGCGUGCCAACCCAAGUUUUGAUGGUGUUUCCUUCGAAUGUGGGGCACGUCCUUAAGACUCGCUUCAAUCGCUGUCCACAAGGCGACUGAUUCAGAUUGCUCCUCCACGAUGUGUUUGGAGAUGGUCUCUUCAUUGCCGAUGGGGACCUCUGGAAGUUACAGAGGAAGAUGGCAAACAACGAGUUCAACUCCAAGUCGCUCCGUAGUUUGCCAUGGAUAAUGUGGCGAUAGAGAGGAGCACAGGGUUGCUUCCACUCUUAUGAAGAACUGUCUCGAGAACAGGCCGAGUAUUGACCUCGUAAGAAGUUCUGAUUAUUUCGCUUUCAAUAACAUUUGCGAAAUGGCAUUCAAUGUAUACCCUGGUUUACUACGUGGCAAGGGAAUUACGACUUCAGACUUUACGAUAGCAUUCGACAGCGCUAAUUAUCUCCUACCAUUCAUGUGGAAGGUAAAAAAGAUCCUCAAAAUCGGAACGGUGCAAGAGCUUAAGAACUGCAUCUCCAUUGUCCAUGAAUGCAUGGAAAACAUCGUCCUGUCGAGAUUGGCAGGAAACAGAGGAACAAACAAAGGUUUGCUAUCUCUGCGGCUCUUGCUCUUUUCUGGGCUGCACGGUGUAAUCUUCCUUGGCGUAAUAGGCCUUGGGUAGAGACCAUCCGUUGGGCCCUGAGAUUCCUCUCUAGUAAGGAUUUUUUCCACUCCAUUGCUCGGUUUUCUUUUAGAGCCUUGUGCCACUUAAUCUGGAAGAAAAUGAACAGCAUCAUCUUUCGUGGCGAAGCGCUGGAGGUCUCUGCUUUGAAGGAGCACAUUAUCAAAGUCGUUAAGGAUAAAAUUCUUACCUUCAGAAAGGUGCCGAACAACCAUAGAAACAAGCAGCUUCAACAUGGGUGGGGUUUUGACCCUUCUGUUUUUGACGAAACUGUUGGAUUAUAAUGUCUCAGUUGCUGUUUUCUGUUUUGUUUUUUUACUCUGUUUUCUGCUGUUUUCUGUUCUGUUUUCUGCUCUGUUUUACUCUGUUUUUUUAUUAAAAAAACAGCCAAGUUCAAUUUAGUUAUUUAUUUAGUGUUUUUGUUAUUUUCUAGGAAGUUAAUAGCACGUUUGUGUGUAGUUAUGUGUUGCACGUACGUGAGCAGUUUUUGCUUUGUUUAAGUUGUCAUGUACUUGACAGUUUCCUUAAGAACAGACGUAUGCAAGUUUGUGUUCUGUUUCUCUACGCUUCUCUUCCUCAUCUAAAAAAUAUAGCUUCUGGUUUUCUAUUUUCUUGUUUACUGUUUUGAUCAGUAACAACAUUGGUAUCAGAGCGUUUGUGGGAUCUUAAGGGACUGUGAAGUGAGGGUAAUUGAGUGAAGAUUGCUUCCGAUUUGCAAAGAAAAAGCUUAUGGAGGUAGGAUCGAGUGGAUUCUCUGCAAUGGCAACUCCAGUCUUUUCUUGGGAAAAUUAUCAGGCUUGGGCUGUCAAGAUGACGGCAUUCUUGGAGGGUCAUGAUUUAUGGGAGGCUGUGGAGGAUGAUUAUGAGGUUGCUCCACUUCCAGACAAUCCAACCUUGAAUCAGAUAAAGUACCAUAAAGAGAGAAUCACAAGGAAGGCCAAGGCAAAGUCAUGCCUGUACGCUGCUGUUUCACCCACUAUCUUCACAAGGAUCAUGAGAUGUGAUUCUGCAAAAGCAAUAUGGGAUUUCUUGAAGGAUGAAUACGAGGGAGAUGAGAAGAUAAGAGGCAUGAAGGUGCUGAAUCUCUUGAGGGAGUUUGAGAGACAGCAGAUGAAGGAUUCAGAGUCAAUGAAGGAGUACUCUGAUAGGUUGGUUGGGAUAGCUGAAAAAAUCAGAGUUUUAGGGACUGACUUGAAGGAUGAAAGGCUUGUUCAGAAGAUCCUGGUGUCUCUUCCAGAGAAGUUCGAAGCCACCAUAGCGUCUCUGGAAAAUACAAGAGACUUACCUGAUAUAAAGCUUGCAGAAUUGUUAAAUGCUCUGCAGGUACAGGAGCACAGAAGACUGAUGAGAAGAGAAGAGUUUGUAGAGGAUGCGUUGCAAGCUAGAGUGAAGUCAAAUGAUAGAGGCAAAGGGAAGAAAUGGAUUCAGUCCAGAGAAAAUGCCGGUGACUCCAAGUUUGUAGCAAAAGAAGGAAAUUCUGGUGGGUCUAGCAAAUGGAAGAUGAACAAAAAGCCUUGUCAAUACUGUGGUGGAACUAAUCAUCAGUUUUUUAGAUGUUGGAGAAAGCCUGAUGCUAGAUGCAGAAGAUGUCACAAGUUGGGUCACAUGGAAGCCAUCUGCAAAGAAAAAAAUUACCAGCAAGCAGGAAAAGCACAGGUAGCAGUGAAUGAAACUGAGGAAGAGCACUUGUUUGUAGCUUCUUUUUCUGAAUCUUUUGUUGGGAAUGAUGCAUGGCUGGUGGAUAGUGGCUGUACCAAUCAUAUGACUGGCAAUUCGAAGCUGUUUAGGAGUCUAGACAGGUCAAUCAGGUCCAGAGUCAGAAUUGGCAAUGGACAGUAUAUCGAAGUGCAAGGGAAGGGUACAGUGGCUAUUGAAGGAAAUCAGGAGGUGAAGUUGAUCAGUGAUGUUCUCUUUGUGCCAAAUAUUGACCAUAAUCUGUUAAGUGUUGGUCAAUUAGUUGAGAAGGGCUAUAAAGUGAAGUUCGAAGGGAAUGAAUGUCUUAUUAAUAAUGCAGAUAGCAAAGAAGUGCUAAGAAUUUCAAUGGAGGACAAGAGUUUCAUGUUCAAGCCACAAGAGAUGCAACAAAUGGCUUUAAAGUGCAAAAAAGAAAAUGCAGAGAUAUGGCAUAAAAGACUUGGGCAUGUUCACAGGAAAAGCAUGUUGUUUAUGCAGAAAAAUAGCUUGGCAGAUGACUUGCCAAGUUUGGAUGAGGAAUUUCCACAGUGCAAAACUUGUCUUCUUGGCAAGCAAGUCAGAUUUCCUUUCAAAGGAGGAGGCUGGAGAGCAUGUGAGAAGCUGCAAUUAGUCCACACAGAUUUAUGUGGACCUAUGUCUGAGUCUUCUCUCAAUGGUAGCAGGUAUUUCAUUACCUUCACUGAUGAUAUGACUAGGAUGAGUUGGAUUUAUUUUCUGCAAGCCAAGUCUGAAGUUGCUGAUGUGUUUGUGAAGUUUAAAGCCUUAGUUGAGAAUCAGAGUGGGAAGAAAAUUAAAAUGCUCAGGUCUGAUAAUGGUUCUGAGUAUACUGCUCACAAGUUUAAGUUGAAUUGUGAGCAAGAAUUGUGCAGCAGUUCACUGCUCCCUAUUCACCUCAACAGAAUGGGGUCAGUGAGAGGAAAAAUAGAAGUAUUAUGGAGAUGGCCAGAUGUAUGAUGCAGGAAAAGAUGUUGCCUAAGAAGUUCUGGGCUGAGGCAGCUAAUACUGCAGUGUUCUUGUUGAACAGAUUGCCCACAAAGGCCUUAGAGAGGUCAACACCUUUUGAAGUCUGGUAUGGUGUUAAACCUUCUGUGAAAAAUUUAAAGGUUUUUGGGUGUUUGUGUUACACUCAUGUUCCUGAGGUCAAGAGGGACAAGUUGGAUAAAAGAGCUGAGCUUGGAAUCUUCAUUGGGUACAGUCUCCAAUCAAAGGCUUACAUGAUUUUUCACCCUAUGACAGGGAAGGUGACUGUAAGCAGAGAUGUUGUUUUUCUAGAGGAAGAUGAGUGGAAUUGGAUGGAAGGAAAGAGUGCAGAAAAGCAGCAGUUCGAAAAACAACCUGCAACAGAUGUAGAGGUUGAUGAAGUUAUUGAUGGAUUGGAAGACAGUGUGGAUGAUUUACCAGUGAGGGGCACAAGGUCACUUGCUGAAAUCUAUGAAAGAAGCAAUGUGGCAAUGCUCGAACCAUCUAACUUUGUGGAAGCUAAGGAGGAUCAGAGGUGGAUUGCAGCAAUGCAGGAGGAGAUUGCAAUGAUCCAGAAAAACCAUACAUGGGAGCUUGUUGACAGACCAUCUGAUAAGAAUGUGAUUGGGGUUAAGUGGGUGUUUAGAACAAAACUUAAUCCUGAUGGUUCUAUCAAUAAACACAAAGCUAGACUGGUGGUGAAAGGCUAUGCACAAAUAUGGGGAGUAGACUAUUCUGAAACAUUUGCUCAUGUUGCACGACUUGAUACAAUAAGGUUACUGUUAGCUAUUGCAGCAAAGAAGGGGUGGCCUAUAUUUCAGUUAGAUGUCAAGUCUGCAUUUCUGAAUGGAGAGCUUGAGGAGGAGAUUUUUGUUGAACAACCUGAAGGCUUCAGUAUCAAAGGGCAAGAAGAGAGUGUAUACAGGUUGAAGAAAGCUCUAUAUGGACUGAAGCAAGCUCCAAGAGCUUGGUAUGGGAAGAUAGAUCGAUAUUUGCAGGAUUUUGGUUUUGUGAAAAGCUUAAGUGAGUUCACUCUUUAUGUCAAGAAGGUGAAUCACAGUGUUGUAACUCUGUCACUUUAUGUAGAUGAUCUUUUAGUGACGGGGAAUGAUAUGGAAUUGAUAGAGAAGGUGAAGCAAGAUCUAUUUGCAGUUUUUGAGAUGUCAGACUUGGGAAAGAUGGCUUAUUUUUUGGGUUUGGAAGUCAAACAGGCUUCAUAUGAGAUCUUCAUCUGUCAGAAAAAAUACAUGAAAGAAAUUCUAAAGAAGUUUCAGAUGGAAGAUUGUUGAAGUGUAAGCACUCCUAUGGCUGCUAAAGAAAAGCUGCAGAAGAAUGAUGGAACAGAUGCAGUAGAUGCUUCUAUGUAUAGAAGUCUGAUUGGGUGUCUCAUGUAUCUUACAGCAACCAGACCAGAUAUUCUAUUUGUUGUGAGUGUUUUAUCCAGGUUUAUGAGUAGUCCUAGUCAAUUACAUUUGAUUGCAGCAAAAAGGGUCUUGAGGUAUCUCAAAGGAACAUUGUUCUUUGGUGUGAAGUUUAAAAAAGGUCAGAAGUUUAAUUUGCAAGGAUUUUCUGAUAGUGACUGGGCUGGUUCAGUAGAUGACAUGAAGAGUACGUCUGGAUAUUGUUUCAGUUUUGGUUCUGCUUGUUUCUCCUGGUGUUCUAAAAAGCAAGAGAUUGUAGCUCAGUCUACUGCAGAGGCUGAGUUUAUAGCAGAUAAUCAGGCCGCUUUAGCAAUAUCUCAUAAUCCAGUUUUCCAUGGCAAAACCAAGCAUUUCAAAGUCAAAUUUUUCUUUCUGCGUGAGGUGCAACAAAGUGGCGAAGUUAAGUUGGUCUAUUGCAGAUCUGAAGAUCAACUUGCAGACAUGUUCAUAAAACCACUUCAAGCUGGAAGAUUUGAAGUAUUAAGAAAGAAAAUUGGAGUAUGCAGCAGCAACUGAUCCAAGGAGGAGUUUGUUGGAUUAUAAUGUCUCAGUUGCUGUUUUCUGUUUGUUUUUUUACUCUGUUUUCUGCUGUUUUCUGUUCUGUUUUCUGCUCUGUUUUACUCUGUUUUUUUAUUAAAAAAACAGCCAAGUUCAAUUUAGUUAUUUAUUUAGUGUUUUUGUUAUUUUCUAGGAAGUUAAUAGCACGUUUGUGUGCAGUUAUGUGUUGCACGUACGUGAGCAGUUUUUGCUUUGUUUAAGUUGUCCUGUACUUGACAGUUUCCUUAAGAACAGACGUAUGCAAGUUUGUGUUCUGUUUCUCUACGCUUCUCUUCCUCAUCUGAAAAAUAUAGCUUCUGGUUUUCUAUUUUCUUGUUUACUGUUUUGAUCAGUAACAACAGAAACCAACACUCAUCUUACCUAGUUAGGUGGUUUGCUAUGUUGUUUCUCUGCCUUGUGGCGUUUUGCCUAGGCUUGUAUUGCUGUUUGUUCAGCUGUGUUUUUUGUUCAUGUGUUCUCUUUUUUUUUUGCUCCCUUCCACUUCUCCUGCAUGUUCGCAUUAUGAGUGAAAGUUCUUGGCGCCGAAUUCUAUGUAUUUUGGCUUUCCCUAUUUAUAUAAUUAUCUUUACCCAAAAAAAAAAAAGAUUUGCUAUCUUGAUUCAUUGGCGGAGGCUACACUUUGAUCGAGUAUCUUCCGGCUAUUAUGUUCGCACCCUAAUGGAGAGAAGAGAAUCCUAGAGGAGAUAGAGACUAUACGAGCUCAUCAUGGCGAAACCCUGGGGGAGACAGACAGCUUUGAGGAGCUAUGCAAAAUGGAUUACCGGCACGCUGUUGUCACAGAGACUAAGAUAUCCGUCAGUGCCACAUGAUAGGGAAGGAAGCCCUAAUGGAUAAUGUACUACCUGAUGGCACAACUGUGAGGAAGGGCUGGCGUGUCAUAUUCAGUUCUUUAUGCAUUGGGAAGGUGGAAAGCUUGUGGGGGAAGAACUGUCUCGAGUAUUUGCCCGAAAGGUGGCUCGACGAGAACGGAGCAUUCGAGCUAGAGAGCCCUUACUGGUUCCCGGUUUUUCACGCCGAGGAUGUGUCUUGGGAAAGAUCUGGCCUAUACUCAAAUGAAAUCAAUUGUAGCGUCUGUGGUUGAGAGGCUUGAGACACAAGUGCAGAACACGGGGAAGUGCCCUGGGAAAAUUGUGUCGGUGAGUGUUCUCAUGACAGGUGGAUUACUUGUCAAAGCGAAACAAAGAUGUCAGCAUUUGAAGCAGUAACUUCUCUGUACUAAGGAGAAACGAUGAAAGCACAAUGGACCUUGAAGGACCAAGGGGCUUGCAGCAUGAACCCGAUAAUGAACCUUGAAGAACAAAGGGGGGGAAUAACAUAAUGCCCGCUUGUCGAUAUGAACAAAAUAUGUACAGUGGAAGCUAUGUAGACUGCUGGGAGCAAGAAGCAGAAACCCGAUAUGUUCACUUGAGGAAAUAGUUAAGAGGGAGCUUAUGUCCAAAUUCGUUAAUGUAUCCAGUUGAAUCAACAUUCACCCAAAAACGAAAUCAAGCUAACUAGAAUAUAUUAACCGCUCUACGCUACAUCACUUAUCUAAUAUGGAAUUUUCUAACACAACUCACACAUAUAUAUUAAAAACAUGUGAGCUCACCGUUGGGUUUGCUCCCUCUUAAUUUAGGUGUCCUUCUGCAUCAACUUAUGUCGGGUAAAAUCUCCAUCAUCAACACCUAAGUUCAUUGCUAGUCUUUUUCUCCUUAUAAAACCAUGAAGUCUUCUAUCGAGCCCACAUUACUACGCUACAAACUCCACCCAUCCUAAAACAACAUUGAUCACCGGAUUCCUUUCUUGAAAUAUUUACCACCAUACAUGUUGGGGGAAGAAGUACAACCAAGUGUCAAAACUAGGCACGAAGAAACACUUAAAUGUCAAAAUUAUGAAAGUGACACUUAAAUGUCAAUUUUUUUUUUUUUUUUAUAAAUGAGACACUUAAGUGCCAUCUCCGACGAACUCAAUUGAUAAUCCUAUGUGGUAAUUUUUUAUUAUUUUUCUUGCCUACGUGGCUCGCCAGAAAGCCGACUCAACAAAAAAAACGCAAAAGUGACAUCAUUUUUGCUUGGAUUCAAAUUUUAAUAUAAAAAUUAAUUUUAAUUUUAAAUUAUAAAUAAAUAAAAAUAAAUAAGGGAGGACGAAGGCAGCUAAGGGCUGGUGAAGGUGGGGGGAGGGUCGGCUAAGGUCAUCGGGCACUCGCCAAGGGCCAGUGACCCCAGCCAAUGCUAGCCCUUCCUAGCAACGGCGGGGAGUCGGCGGCGGCAUUGAGGGCUCAGCCCUUAGCCACGUGCUUUCUCUCUCCCUUUUUUAAAAAUUUUUAAAAUUUUUUAAAUAAAUUUAGUUUUUAAUUUAAUUUAAUUUAAUUAAUUCUUAUAUUAAUUAUUUACCAUGUUAGAGACAAAAUGAGACAAAAUGACAUCGUUUUUGUAUUUGUCUAGCCACGUCAGCGUGCAAAACGACGUCGUUUUGUACUUAUCUCACUGGAAAAUUGUCACGUCAGCAUUUUGAUAGGAUUUCUCGCCAUUGGCACUUAAGUGAUUUAUUUUGCUUUGAUUUUGGUACUUAAAUGUCACUUUUUUAACUUUUGGCACUUGAGUAUCCUCCAAGUCAAGUUUUGGCGCUCCAGGUGUCCCGCACUCCAUGUUGGGAGUGGGCUACUAAUCGUCCAUUGGCUUUGAAACCCUAACAAAUUUUGUAAUUAAAUCAACACGAAAUCAUCUAAGAAAUAAAUGAUGAAUAGGCAGCAUUGAGGGCUCAACCCUUAGCCGUGUGCCUCCUCUCUCCCUUUUUUAAUUUUUUUUUAAAUGUUUUAAAUAAAUUUAGUUUUAAAUUUAAUUUAAUUAACUUUUAUAUUCAUUAUUUACCAUGUUAGAGACAAAACGACGUCGUUUUUGCAUUUGUCUAGCCACGUGCAAAACGACGUCAUUUUGUACUUAUCUCGCCGGAAAAUUGCCACGUCAGCAUUUUGAUCGGAUUUUCUCACUGUUGGCACUUAAGUGAUCUAUUUUGAUUUGAUUUUGGCACUUCAAUGUCACUUUUUUAACUUUUGGUACUUGAGUAUCCUUCGAAUCAAGUUUUAGCACUCUAGGUGUCCCGCACUCCAUGUUAGGAGUGGGCUACUAAUUGUCCAUUGGCUUUGAAACCCUAACAAAUUUUAUAAUUAAAUCAACACGAAAACAUCAAAGAAAUAAAUGAUGAAUAGGCAGCAUUGAGGGCUCAACCCUUAGCCGCAUGCCUCCUCUCUCCCUUUUUUAAAAAUUUUUUAAAAUGUUUUGAAUAAAUUUAUUUUUAAAUUUAAUUUAAUUAAUUUUUAUAUUAAUUAUUUACCAUGUUAGAGACAAAAAAAACGUCGUUUUUGCAUUUGUCUAGCCAUGUCAGCAUGCAAAACGACAUUGUUUUGUACUUAUCUCACCGGAAAAUUAUCAUGUCAGCAUUUUGAUCGGAUUUUCUAGCCGUUGGCACUUAAGUGAUCUACUUUACUUUGAUUUUGGCACUUAAAUGUCACUUUUUUAAACUUUUGGCAUUUGAGUAUCCUCCGAGUCAAGUUUUGGCGCUCCAAGUAUCCCGCACUCCAUGUUGGGAGUGGGCUACUAAUCGUCCAUUGGCUUUGAAACCCUAACAAUUUUUGUAAUUAAAUUAACACGAAAUCAUCAAAGAAAUAUAUGAUGAGUAAUAAAGACACUAGAGAUUUUGUAGUUCAGCUCGAAUAUUGACACGUACAUCUAUGAGGAGAGCCAAUAGCCAAUAAUCCAUAAUCACAUCAGAGAAUUACAGAGUUAUAAUCGCUCACAUGCUUGAGUAUUUCCAAAACCUCAUAUUGUUUUAUAAAAAAUAAAAAAAAAAAAUCACCACAUGUUGUCAAUACCUAAAUUUUGACUAAUCAUUUAGUAGUUAAUUUCAUAAAAAAAAUUAGGAAUUAAUCUUUAACCACUAAAUAAAAAUAUUUAAAUUAGAUUGCAAAUAGUUUUAGGAGCAUUUUUUUUUUGGUCGGUUUUAGGAGCAUUUAUCAUAUAGUUUAUUUCAUUGCAACAUUGGACUGGCGGCAGAUGGACUAAGAGCAAGGGAAAAUUUGAACUUAAUUUAAUCUCUUGGACUGAGCCCAUAACUGCACAAAAAUUAGGCCGAGUCCAUUGAAGAUUAUAUAGCGGAAAUUUUUACAGUUACAUGUGUCAGGUCGAAAAAUUGGUACUUAAAUCAUUAUCGAGAUCUAGUCACAUAAUGAAUGAUUGGAAAUAAUCUUCGGGGAAUUUGUACGUGCAUAUUUUAGGAAGUGAACAAGAAAAAAGUGGGCAAAAAUGUAUUCUGCGGAUUGCGUACAAAAGAAAACGGGAAAAUUUCAAAUAAGGACUCAAAGUGCCAUCAUUUUCUCAAAAGAUGACCUAUAGUGAAAUUUGUCUCAAAUAAGGACCAAAAGUGCCAUCAUUUUUCUCAAAAUAGGACGUGAAGUGAAGUUUGUCUCAAAGAAGGACCCAAAGUAGUCAUUUAAUCUCAAAGAAGGACCUCACUUGCCGGCCGGUGAAUAAAUGCAUCUUCAAUGUAUAUUCCAGUGGCUUGAUUACAGUAUUUUCAUCCUCUUUUUUUUUCAAUUUUGCUUGCCUAGUUCAUUGUCUUCUUCGUCCCUUGUUCACUUCUUCUUGCCCAGAUCAAGAAUAUCGAACUUGGUGGAGCAAUAGGCGGAGGUGGGGGAGGUCGCCCCUCGCGACCAUCAGCGAGGUCACCCCUCGCCGGCCCUGGGUGAGGGCUCACCCACCUCACCAGCCACUAAUAAGGGCUAACAAGGGCUUGCAAGCCCUCACCUAUUGCUAGCGAGGGCUCGACCACCCUCGCCAGUCGCAACCGAGGCCACCAUCGCCAGAUCUAGCAAGGGUCGGCCUACAAGCCCUCGCCCACGGCCGACAAGGGCUUGGUGGCCCUCGCCUACUGCCGACGAUGGGCGUCCAACCCUCGCUGAUCCUCACCAAUGGCCAGUGCUCACUGGCCCUUCCCAAGUCCAAUGUUCUUGAGAAGAAGAUGAAUAUGGGACGAAAAAGAUGAUGAAUAGUGCCACCAUUGACCCAAAAAAAAUAAUAAUAAUAAAGAACAGGACAACUGAUUUUUUUUUAAAAAGGACAAAAAUAUCCCUAAUCAAGCUAUCGGAAUAUGCAUCGGAGAUGCAUUUAUUCACCGGCCGGCAAAUGAGGUCCUUCUUUGAGACCAAAUGAUUAUUUUGGGUCCUUAUUUGAUACAAACUCCACUCUAGGUCAUCUUUUGAGAAAAUGAAGGCAUUUUGAGUCCUUAUUUGAGACAAACUUCACCUCAUGUCCUCUUUUGAGAAAAUGAUGGCAUUAUAGGUUCUUAUUUGAAAUUUUCCCAAAGAAAACUUGGGCUAAUAAAAGAAGAUGACUUGCUUGAAGAAAAGGAAACUCCAUAUCACUGAAUGGACUAUCCAUGAGCAGCUCGUCCCUGCCCUUUUACCGUGUCGUUGUCCCGGCGAGCUUGCCAGCUCAGUCCCCGAAGGUUGCUGAUUUCCCACUGACUUUGCCGCCGCUUCGCGGCAUGCUGUCCAGUCCAUCUCCAUUGACGCCGAUCCUUGCCUGUCGCUGCCGCCACGGGUCGACAACGCAGCUGCUGCCCUUUCUCUCGACCGAGUCGUGAAGUAGCCUUUGCUGUGGUUCCCAGACAACAGAGCUACGGGCCACGCUUGUAGCCGGAUUCGCCAGUUCAAUCAUCACGGAGCAGUCCUUCUGGCGACGAUCACCCGCCAAGGACCUUCUUGCGCCCCAACGGCAUCGGUGUUUUUCUUGCAACCCCGGUGACGUUGGUGGUCGGGUGAGCCACCGUAUGCACUCAGUCGCAUCUUGCCACCGCUCCUUGCCGUCUCGAUGGUGCCAAUGUUUUCAGCCUCGGUCCAAUCCGAUCCCCAGCGACCAGCCUGGUCCAGCAGCGUCCAGCAAUCAGCCCGCGACGUUCCUGUCCGACCAGACCAGUUUGCCAUCGAGCUAUCUCCCUCGAUGUAGGCUCCAGUAACACCAGAUUUUCUUUAGGCCAUUCACUAAAAUUUUGUUGCAGGUUUUCUCCUCGAUACACACGGAAGCAUCAUCAGGAUAGACAAGUGGAGAGUCCGGCUGUGGGGCUUGAAAAGUCAAAGUUCGGUGGAUGCUCCCUUGAAUACGUUGCACUUGCAGCAGCUCCUUUUGCAACCCCACCUCAUCAUCGACCAGCAAGCUUUGCUCUUCUGAGGGGUGUAACUGAUACGGUUCGGUUCGAUUUUCUUAAAAAAUGGAACCUAGAUGAGGAAAUUUAUUAAACCAAACCGAAAUUCGAUCCAAAGCGAAACCAAACCGAACUGAAAUCCAUUCGGUUGUUCGAUUUUUCGAUUUUUUUUUUUUUCCCUACAUGCAUCCCUUUCAAUAAUUUUUGUACUUUUUAAAAAAUCAAUUUUUUUAUUCUUUUUCUUUUUUCUUUCUUUUUCUUCUUCUUCUUCUUCAUCGGUUGGUCGCCAUCCACGGUGGCCAGCUCGCCCUUGAACCCACCAAAUCCGUUGAGCCUCGCCGACAUCUAGCGACCUUCGGCAAGGCUCAAGCCCUACCCAAGUGGCCGAAUCUAGUAGGGCUCAAGCUCGCCGACAUCGAGCGAGAAGAAAAAGAAAAAGAAAAUCACAAAAAGGCUUUUUAAAAAAAUAAAAUAAAAAAUUAUAUGAAAUUUUUUAAAAUUUUAUCAGUUUGGUUAGGUUAACCAAACCAUUAAAAAUCGAACUUGUUAAAAAAAUUUCGAUUUUUAAUGAAAAACGAACCGAAAAAAAAAGUCCGACUUUUCGAUUUGGUUCAGUUCGAUUUUUUGCACCCUUAGCAGCAAUGGCUAUCAUUUCAACUAAGGGGGGAUGUGCAGAGAAAGAGUGCUUGAUCACGACACGAGAUGGUACUUGGCCAAGGAACAUGCAAUGGAAUGAUUAGUUCACAGCUAUAGGAGUGUCAAAAACCGAACCGAACUCAAAAAUUUUUUAACCGAUUUGUUUUUUAUUGGCUCAGUUAACCUAACCAAACUGAUAAAAUCUAGAAAAUUUUCUUUUUUUUUAUUUUUUUUUUAAAAAAUCUUUUUUGUUAUUUUUUUCUUUUUCUUUCUUUUUCUUCUUCUUCUUUAUUGGUUGGUUGCCGCCGGCAACUGGCGACUAGCCAAAGGCGAGCAAGAGCCUCGCCGACCCACAGGUCAGCGAGGCUUGAGCUCGUCCAAUUUCGGCAAAGUCGAGCCUCGCCGGCCUAUAGCAAGGCUCCACCUCGCCCGACACCAGUGAGCUUGAACCCCGCCAAAUUCGGCCCCCUAGGUGUUGUUAAAGAAGCUGACUUGAAGACUGCAUCUGUGGCAAUGCAUAAGAAACGAAGAAACAUUUGAAGAUAAUUCAAGACUGACUUGAAGAGAGAGUUUGCUCAUCACACGUGUUUGCAGAGCUGGAAGACUUAAAAGAAAAGUAAAUACACGUGUCAUAAUUCAUUAGAGCGGUUAGUCUGUUAUUUGUAGAACCGAAGUUGUUAAACCGGUGUUGAGUCGGUUGAUUCGUUUUUCAUCAUCUUCCUUGAGUAUAAAACUACAGAGGAAAGUAUAGAGAGAGUGUGGGGAGAAAAGCAAGAAGUGAAAUUGUAGAACAGAUAGAGAAAGCUCUCAGUUGAAUAAAUGCUUUUGCUCCUUUUGAUUCGAGAAGAAAAGAAAUUCUUCCUCUUCAUCUUGUGUCUCUGUUCUUCAUUCUCUGUUCUCUAUUCUUUGUUCUCUCUGUUCUUCGUUUCUUCACAGGUGUGGCUCAAGCCUCGUAGGAGGUUGCUAGAUGUCGACAAGGCUCUAGUGACCUCCAGCGAUGCUUGAGCCUUGCUUAGCUCGUCGAAUUUGGCAGGUUCAACCUCAGUGGCAUCAAGUGAGCUUGGCCUCGCCUGACCGGGUGAGCUCCAACUCGCCUCUGGCCGGUCACCAACCGCCACCGUGGCCGGCAACUAGCCAAUGAAAAAGUAAAAAUAUAACUAAAAAGAAAGAAAAAGAAUAAAAAAAUAACUAAAAAAUUGAUUUUUUAAAAUAUAAAACAAAAGUAAAAACCAAACCAAACUAGGAUUUUGAUUCAGUUUCGAUUUGAAUUAUAUUUCAGUUCGAUUUAAUAAAUUUCCUUAUCGGUUCGGUUUUCUAAAAAUAUCAAAUUGAAUCGAACCAUUUACAUCCCUAGUCGCCGCAAGACGUGAUCCAGUCCAAUUUUGAUCCGGAUUACACAUAUUCAAAUUAGGUAAUGAUCUCUAUCCAAUUUAAUUUGAAUAUUUCAUUCCAUAAUUUGGAUGGAUUGUUAUCUAAUAUGUGAUAUUUGAGAUCUUAAGCCUAUCUAAUUAAGGCUUAUUGAUAAACUUAAUUUGAUCCGGAUACCGUAAGGAUAUCUGAUCAUUUUUUAAUAUUAUUUCAGUUUUUUAUUGGAUAGCUACAGUGUCUAAUUGCGAUAAUCUUUAGUUUAAGUCGUGAGACAAUAGGUCAUUUCUUAGUUUAUCAUAAUUUAAUUGUGUAUUGAGUUGCGGAUUAGGCGACACAUGUUCAAGCCCGUCCCGUGCGUUCUUUUUCAUUCCCUUCCUGCGGCUGCGGCUGCGGCUGCGGCUUCGGUUUCUUCCAUGUGCGGCCUGGUAGGUUUCAAGCAAAAACAAAGCCCAAGCCUUUUGUUGUGUGUUCGUGCCUGCAGCACAUUAGAGUCCAACUCUUGGUCUUGCUCAAACUCGUUCUAAUCGGGUUGGGUCUCAUAUACAGCCUGAACUCGAGAUAGUAAUUCAACACUCUUAUCUUCACUAUUGUCACCUUACUGCUGUCUAAAUAGCACCAGCAUCAACACAAGACACAAUACACCGACACAUCGUUUCUAAAAAAAUAGAUAAUUUUGACUUGUUUGAGAGACGUAAUAAAUUAAAUAUAUAUUUUUAUAUAUACAUAAUAUAUUAUCUUUUUUAUAAUUGUUUUAAUUAAAUUAAUUUGAUUCAAAUUUAUAAAUAAAUAAAUAAAUAAUAAAAAAGACUCAAAUGAAUUUAAACUAAAAACAUUAUUUCAAUUUGACAAAUUCAACUAUAUUCCAAAAAAUUAAUCAAUUCACCUUUUAGACUUACAUGUCAGAAGAAAAGAAAAAAAUAAAAUUGGGGGGUGAAUUGUGUGUCACAAGAAGUAAGAGUUAGAAGAGAAGACAAUACUAGAUUUUUUUCCCCAUUUUUUAUUUUUUUAUUUUUCACAUAUUUACAUUUUGACAAUUCAUUUAUUGAAAAUUUUCAAAAUUGAUCUUGUGUGUGUCGGAAUCACAAGUCGAAAUUCCAAACUCACAUGUUGAAGAGUGUUGGAUUUUCUAACUGUUGAUCGAGUGUCGGAGAGUAUUGAACACGUAUCGAAAUAUUUGCGUAUCCAACAUAACACGAAAACUCUCGAAGACUAAGAGUGUCGAUACUUACUAUUACUACAGCUCAAGAAAAUACAUUAGCAAUUGGAGGUCUCAUGAAUUACCCUCCGAUAGGGUGCCCGCCGGGGGCCAUCAAGAGCAAAUAUCGCGUCCUUGAGCGGAUGUCACCGAUUUUCCCCCUCAGUGGAGGCCCGCCCCCCCGAGACUUCCCCGGUGUUGGUGGCAGAUCUGAAUGGGGCUGAAUUGGGGUGGAAACAAGUUAAGGGAAAGAAGAAGAAAUAUCCCCCUCCUAAGGAGACGUGCUUGGACCAUUCGGUCAUCUCCAGAGACGAGGAACCAUCCCUCAAGCAGACAGCAGUAGCUCUUAAGAGCUUGCCAUCAACCUCUACCCGGAGGGCUCAGAGUGGGCUUCGAGCCCUAAUCAAGGUGGAUGCUCCCACCUCGACAAUGAAGGAAGACCCCAUUAGCCAUCCGGAUGCAGACCUGGGGAGUGGAGCGGAGUUGAAUGGGUCUGUCAACCACCUUGAUAGCUCAGAUGAUGAUCUUCUCUCGCCUUGUCUAUCGCCGAAGGCUCCUCCAACUAGAAGCAGCGAGGAGACUACCCAAGACAAGCCCCUGGCGCUCUCCCCAGACCCACCUCCUCCAUCGGCUCGAGCGGCUCCCCCUCCGAGCCGUCGCAAGCCACCGAAAAGGAGGUAACCCUUACUCUUUUCCUCUUUUGUACAUAUGUAUAUAGGAUGCUGGAAUAUUAGAGGCAUGGUUGACCCGACUAGGCAAGCGGAGAUUCGUAAUUUUAUUAUUUCAAACCACUUGUGCUGUAUUGGUUUGGUGGAAACUAAGGUGCCACAUGAUCGCUUCAACUCCAUAACCGAAGGUCUAUUGAGGGAUUGGUGUUGGAUUGCAAACUAUGACUUCUCCCCCAGGGGUAGAAUUUGGGUCGGUUGGGACCCCGUGAGAGUUAAGUUUGAAGCCUUCUCACUUACCAAGCAGGCAGUUCAUGGGAACUUUGAGAGCCUGGUCUUUGGGGUGGCUUGCUGUGUUUCUUUUAUUUAUGGAGAACACUCUUUUUCGCUGAGGAGACCGUUGUGGGAGGAUAUCAUUCUGAAAAGCACCCAUCUCUGGGACACUCCUUGGCUUGUCUUGGGGGAUUUCAACGCUAUUAAGGAUCCAUCGGACUGUGUCAGUGGCUCUAAAGAUUGGCUCCCUUGUUUUGAUGAGUUUGGACAGUGCUUGGAGCAAGCCGAGCUGGAAGACUUGAGGUUCGUUGGUUUUAGAUACACUUGGACUACGUCUUCAGGGCCUUCUAGGAAAGUAAGAAAGAUUGAUAGGGUUCUAGUGAACGCCAAGUGGAGCUUUGAUCUCUCUUACUUGGAAGCCUCCUUCCUAGCUCCGGGAAUCUCGGAUCACUCGCCUAUGGUGGUGAAGAUGCUUAAUCCGACUCAUCGGAGGAAGCCCUUCAAGUUCUUCGAUUUCUGGAUGAAGCACUCGGAGUUCAAUGAGAUUGUCUCGCAAGUGUGGGAUGCGCCGGGGGGUGGUGUUCCUAUGUAUAGGCUUGUGUCUAAGCUCAAGGCUCUUAAAUGUCGGCUCAAGUAGCUCAAUAGAGAUUCCUUCUCUAAUAACUCUGCCAGAACUCUUGAUGCGCGGAAGAUGUUGGAGGCCACUCAAGCAAAAUUACAACUAAAUCCCUUUUUUGCUGACCUUGCUGAGGUGGAAAAGAACCAAAGGCGUAUCUUUGCAGAGUUGCGCUCCUCGGAGGAGUCAUUCUUCAGGCAGAAGUCCAAGGUCAGAUGGCUCAGGGAGGGAGACCGUAAUACCAAUUUCUUCUACCAAUAUGUCAACAAAAGACAUUUGAGGAACAGAGUCCUUUCCGUCCUCGACUCUUCGGGGAACCUGGUGACGAAGCCACGGCUGGUGCAACGGCGAUUUGUAGAGUUCUUUGAGGACCUCUUGGCGCCGCAAGGGGAGCUCGUUAGACCUUCGUUAGAGGACUUGAGGGAGGUUAUCCACCAUCCACUCUUGGUUGAUCAGGCUGCGCUUCUUGCUCGGCCGGUUACAUAGUUGGAGAUCCGGGACACUAUCUUCUCCUUGCCUAGGGGAAAGGCUCCUGGGCCAGAUGGUUUCACAGCGGAGUUCUUCAAAGAAAACUGGGACACGGUUGGUCCUUUAGUAACGACUGCAGUGAUGGAUUUUUUCACCUCCGGAAAACUCUUGAGGGAGAUUAAUAAUACCAUCUUGGUGAUGGUUCCUAAAGUGCUCAACGCCACUUCUGUGGAGGAUUAUAGGCCUAUCGCCUGCUGCAACACUAUCUACAAGUGUAUUACAAAGGUGCUAGCUAAUCGGGUGGCCCUAGCUUUGAAGAGCACGAUAGGCCCCUUUCAGACUGCUUUUGUAAAAGGUAGGCGGAUCAGGGCCAUCAAGAGCAAACAGCGGCGCUCUCUGCUCUCUGGGGUCAUCAAUGAAUUGCUUUUGUACGCAUUCAAUUCCCUUACAUUGGGAUGUUUCUCGGAUAUUUGCCAGGAAGCUAUGACAGUUAAAAUGACAAGAGAGUCUAUUGUAUAACACCUUUGCAAGAGUAGUCUUACCGAUGCCGCCCAUUCCAUAAAUUCCAAUAAUCUUUGUACCAUUGAAUUCAGCAUCUAUGUUGCUCAUAAUCUGUUGCACAUGAUCCUCGAUUCCCACUAACUGUUCCGGAACAUUUAGCUGAAAAAGUCUUUUUAACUCGCCCAUAACUUUUUUCACAAUAAUUUUAACCAAUGUUCCUUCAUGCCUGUCAAAUAACAAUGAAUAUCAAUAUAGGAUAUCAAUGUCUAUUUUUUUUUUCAAGAAAGAUCUAUUUAUGAAAAAUCAAACAAUGUUUUGUCCGAGAAUUAGGUACCCGUUAUCAAUUUUCUCCGAUUCCCAUCCUUUCAAGGAGCUGACUUCUUUGAGUGCUUCUUCCCAUUCCUUCACAACCAUUUCCUCCAUAUUCUUUUUAUGUGCAUCAAUAGCUUCUCUCAAUCUCCCCAUAGGAUGUCGUACUUGUGAGGGUUCCAUUUUGUAAAAUAUGGGCAACACUAUUUGCCCUUUACUCCUCUUGCACUUUAACAUCUGAACCAGCUCACAAAGGCACCAUUUGCUGGAAACGUAGUUCUCGGAAAUAAUUGGGAUAGAGAUCGUGGACUGCGUAAUGCUGCAGAGAAGCUCCAGACCAAUCUCCUCACCAACACGGAGCUCAUUGUCGUCUCUGAACACGUGAAUUCCUGCAUCGAUAAGACUAGUAUAGAGAUAAUCGGUGAAAUUUUUGCGUGUGUCUAUCCCUCUAAAGCUCAAGAACACUUCGUAGGCAUUCCCUUUCGGUCGUUUGUCUCCCCCUUCAUGAUCUCCUCCAUGCGGAGCAUUCGAUGAGGAAGACGCCCUGGAAUUCGGAUCUUCUGAGUGAGUGGGUUCUUCUCUUUUACAAUUCAAUUGGCAAUUUAAGUUGAGAGGGAAAUGACGUGAAAAGAAACGAAAGGAAUUGGAGAGAAAGGAAGAGAACGGAAAGACCAUUUACCUUUUUCUUGAUUGGAUGGACAUCAUGGAGUGAUUGGCCAACGAGAUUCUUAUUCUGUUAUAAAAUGAGAGAUUGAUCAAGCAGAGCCUUGAAAGAAAGCCAGCCUUCACGGUCCAGAUCUGCGAAUCGCACAAAUGUCUUUCAUGACUCAGUUAAUUCAAACGAAAAUAAAAGAACUCUCAUACCUCUUGCUUACUCAGAAGAAAAUGGAGCAAUCAAAGUAGGAAACAGAAAAGGGCAAGGAGUCGGUUGACUGCCUGAGGAGUGCUCAAACAACACAACCCUGGCAUCUCCACCGAUUUUCAGCAAAUAUCGUUCGGUGGUCUGCCAACGACCGAAGUCCUGACGGCUCACUUCGAUCGCCAUCCAAAAGGCAAGUGGUUCACAUCUCUCCUCCACCGAUGUGUUCAGAGAUGGUCUUCACUGCGGACGGGGGGCCAGCUGCAGAGGAAAAUGGUGAGUUACGAGUUCAACGCCAACUGAAAUGUCUCGAGCACGGGCCAAGUAUUGAGACAUGCAAUUCGACGACAUUUGCGAGAUGGCAUUCCAUGUAGGCUCCGGUUUGCUACACGGCGAGGGAGUUACGACUGCACACUUUACAAGCGCAUUCGAUAAGGUAGCUUCCUUGAGCUCGAGCAGGCUCCGUCGCCUAACAUUCAUGUGGAAGGUCACACAGAGAUCCUCAGCGUGGGAAUGGAGCGAGAGCUCAAGAACUGUGUCUCCAAUGUCCCUGAAUACAUGGAAAACAUCAUCCGGUCGAGAUUGGCAGAGGAAAGAGGGACAAACAAAGAUAUGCUAUCUCGAUUAAUUGGACCAAGGCAACACUCGUCUCCUUCAGCACCGAACUCGCGGGAAAGGAGACAACUUCUACUGUGCUCACUUGGUUCUCCUGGCUACUAUCGUCGCACCCCAAUGUAGAGAAGAGAAUCCUAGAAGAGAUAGAGACGAUACGAGCCCGUCGCAACAAAAACUUGGGGUACACUAUGUGGUUCUUAUGCAAUGGGAAGGAUGGAAAGCUUGUGGAAACCCAAAUUUUAAUUUUGAAUGUUUAACAGAGUUGAGUAAAAUAUAGAUUAAGCAAUGCUUAAUUGAGAAUUACGUACGGUCAUCGACCCAUUAGAAUCAUUUCUAAGAGAUUUAAGUAAUCAAGAAGAAAAAUGACUUGAUUCCAAUGUCUUGAAAGACCAAAUUCAGCCUCUUCUAAAACCAAUUCUUCCGAUCGAUUCAAAUUCAGAACCAGGUUCGAUUUCUCUUUCAUCCUCCUCAUCAUUUUCAAUCAUUGCUAUUGAAUCAUUUCCUAUUGUACUAGUCACUUCUUUAAUAUUCAUAGCUGAUCCUCCAUAUUAGGAAAUGAAUUUAAAUCCUUAUAAACUAGAGGUCAUCUAACCAAAUAAUCCAUCCCAGAAUCUAAAUUCCCCUCUAAACAGUUUUUUACCAUUGAUGACAUUCAUUAUUCCAAAUAGCUAGAAAGAUUUGAAGAAUUUCAUACUAGGCUAAACAUCUAAGCUCUCACAAAUCACGACAAGUAUGAUGUCCUUUUUGGAUUUGUUACGAGAUUCACAGGUAGCCUCAAACAUCGAUGGCAAUCGGUUACAAAACAAGAUCAAGUGCAAUUUCUGCUCUUAGCAGACUUCGGCUAAGCUAUUGCUCUCCUAUACCUUUUUUUCAUUGGCAAACCUGCUGACUUUCAUGAGCUUAAAAGAAGAGAGUUUUUUAAAAGAAAAUUUUGCUCUCUCCAAAAAAGACAUCUUGACAAGCAUUAUUGAAAAACGAUCAAACUCUUCAAUGACCUUGGAGCUGAUGCGAACGUGAAAUAGGUUUUUCGAGCGUCUAUUUCUAGAGAGCUAUCUCAACAAGUCGAGAGAUCAUUUCUCAACAAGGAAAUGAAAAUUGUGUAUAUUCCUUUGGGAGAAAUAAAAGAAAAAAUCUAUUUGUCUUGAUGAUUUGUAUCUAAGGCGCCAAAUGAUGAAAUCCUACCUUAAAGACAAUCAAGAACUUGACGGAGCUUGUUCGCAUCAGAAUUUGAUGAUUAAGUUUUCCAAAAAAAAAAAAAUUGUGAUGGCUCUUGUGGAAAAUUUUCCGGAAAGAAAAGGCAUUUCAAAAAGUAUUAGGUAUAAAGGUCCAAGUAUAGAUUUAAACAUUUCCGGAAAAAAGAAAAAAUGUCAAUUCCUACAAAGAAUGAAAGAUCACUCAAACUAGAAAAAAUCAGCUCCAUGCUUCAUCUGCAACAAAAUGGGUCAUUUCGCCAAAGAUUGCCUCUAGGCGAAAAAUGGUUAGAACCACUUAAUACACCACAUUGAAAGUGAAAUUGUUGUUUCACUUGAAAAUGAUGAUGUUGACUCAUUAUUUUCUAUUGAUGAAGACUCAUUUAAGCAAACUCUUUGUAUCAUUCAUUGUUAUUAGACCUCUAAUGAAACUGAUUCUGAUUCAUAUUUUGAAGAUCUUUUCCAUACAUCACGCAUCUCUUCAAAAUAAGACCCUAGUAUAUAUUCUAGUUAAGUCCAUUGUCCUCAUUUUCCUGUAAAAAUCCUUACCUCAAAAUUUGUUAAAACAUCAUAGUAAUUGCUCUUAUAAAUAUUAGUGCAGGUUUUUCAAUUCUAAACAUAAAGAUUCUUCUUGAAGAAUACUGGACUUCCUACGUUUGGCAUUUCAAUUCUUCUUCGGGAGAUACUUCUUCUACAAAUGUAUGAACUACACCGAAAACUAUUCAGUUUUUCCCUUAGCGUUCUAUAACCACUAAAAUUUUUAGAUCUAAUCUUUCCAACAAAGAUUUGAUUAUUGGUUAGGAUGUUAUGACUCAAAUACCUCUACUCUGAAUCAUUCCUGAAAAAAGACCUUAAGUAUAGAGAUUAGUUCUCUGAAUUUGUUAAUAUCCAAUUACUCUUCUCUAUAUAAAUGAGUUUGCUAGAUUCGAUCAUGUAAAAGUUAUCAGAAUCCCAUUUUGAAUUCUCUUGGAAAUAUCCUCAUCCUUUAUGGAAAAAUGCAGAAUUUUUUGUUCGCUUUCCUUUCAAAAAAAAUGAAUACAUAAAUCUCAUUAAGAUGAGUCACAUGAGAAUGAAUCCAAAACAUUUUGUUGCUACUCAAGAUGAGUGCUCAGAGUUACUACAGUAAGGCCGUAUUUAAAUUUCAGAUUCCUAAUGGACUUGCGAAAUUUUUAUGUUAACAAACAAAUUAAGCAGAAUCGAGAAAAGAUGCGAUUGGCAAUCAAUUACCGACCCUUCGACAUUUUCCUCCAAUAUGAUAAAUUCUCAUUGCCCUUUCGAAAUUCUCUUUUUAUUGGAUUAUCCAAAACUUACAUAUAUUCAAAAUUCGGUCUCAAAACUAGAUUUUGGCAACUAAGCAUUCAUCCUAAAAAUAGGCCCAAAAUAGGUUUCUAUAUUCCAAACCAGUAUUUUCAAUAGAAAGUUCUCCAUUUUGGCCUCAAAGUAACCCCAUCCUUAUUCCAAAAGGCAAUGUGCCAAAUUUUUCAAUCAAUUUUGUCAAGUGCAACAGUCUACAUUGAUGAUAUCUUACUCUACAGCCUUGAUAAAGAAUCCCACUGCCGACUCAUGGAUCAAUUUGUAAACAUCGUGAAAAAAAAUAUGGAAUCAUGAUUUCUCAUAGAAAGAUGAACAUUGCUUAGACAUAAAUUGAAUUUCUAUUAUUCACUUCAAUAAAAAUACAUACUAUCCAGGGCUGCAUAUUACUUAGGAAUUAUUAAAAUUUCCAAAAGAAAAUUUCACGAUAAAAUAAGUUCAGUAAUUUCUUGGGAUAAUUAAUUAUCCGAGAUUUUGUUCCCAACAUUGCAAAAUUGCUACUUCCAUUACAAUUGAUACUAAAGAAAAAUCCCCUUAGCAAAGCUCAAACCAAAGCAGUUACAGAAUUAAAAGAAGUGAUACGGAAUCUUCCUCCAUUGAAAAUGCCAUCCACCAAGAAGAAAAUCCCCUAGACCGAUGCUAUUGACAAAUAUUGGGUAGCCAUACUAUUUGAAGAACUUGAAGGUAAGCGAAACCUUUGCGCUUAUAAAAGUAGAAAAUUUUCUCAGGCUGAAAUGGAUUAUGAUUCUACUUUCAAGAAAAUAUUUGUAGUAAAAAAUGGAAUAAAAAAAUUUGAAUUCCAUCUUAUUGGCCAUCAUUUUCUAGUAGAAUUAGAUAUAACAUCUUCUACCAAAAUAACCAAAUUCAAAUAGAAGCAGAUUCCCCACUCUCAGCUACUUUGAUGGGCUGAAUGAUUUUUGAAACUCUUUUAAAACAACCACAUUGUAGGAAAGAAAAAUGUUCUUACUAAUUUUCUUUCUAGACAAAAAGUACCAACAUAAAUUAACAUGUACAUUUUCAGGCAUGCUUAUCCUCAAUAGGUUUGAGUACAAGAUUGAAAGAAUGCGAGAUUGGCUAAAUUUAGAAUAUCCUCAGGAAAUCAUUGAACAAAUCUAAAGUGAUAGCCUCACUAAAAAUUUUGAUAACUUCAUAUGGUAAUACCAUACAAAUCUAUUCAGAUUCCAUGGAAGCUCAAUUAUUUAUCCUUUUGGAUUAAACUCUAAGUAUCUAUUUAUUUAAUCCAUUAAUCUAAAAAGAAGAUGAUUUCCAUGAUUAGCUUCAAUGGCCGUUUUGGUACUUAACCAAAAAGUACUUAAUAGUUAUUGAGUUCUCUAUCAGAGAAUUCAUUGUCAAGUUAAUCAAAUUGAUCAUGCUUCGACAUAAUGAAGGGAGUGAAGGUGACAGAAACCUCUUGAUUGUACUUUAUUGGUUCUAUCUUCCUACUUACUGAAAACACCUCUUUGCACAAGAACUAGGAAAUGCCCCUCAAGCGGAACCAGAGCUACACAUAGUAGUUUUUUUAGGAGACCAUGGACUUUUGUGCAACAUAAUGGCACCCUCAUUAGUGCACCAGAAGGAAUAAGAACCAUAACAUAUAAGCCUCAAUCACAUCUCCAAGAAGCCCAUAUUUACAGGAUAUUUCCAAACUGCAUUGGAUCCGUUAAAUACAACUACAGAGAACUUCAGAGGGUCCUAUGCCAAGAAAACCGGACCAUUCUUGAAGAAGUAUGGGACUACCCAACACCUGUCCCAUGGGACCACUAUGGUCUUGCACCUGAAGCUAGACAAGCACUUGAAGAAUUCAAGCAAGCAUAGAAUCAAUCAAGGAUACCUUUAUUGCAAGAGCAGUAAAUGACAAACACAGACGAUCAUGCACAAUUCUCUCAAAAAUCCUAUGCUUUUAGGCAUCUUACGCUCAAUGGGGGGUCCUCUCUUAAGAUUUAUAUGAUCAAGGACCUUUGUCCUUAUCUCACGGAAUGGACCCCAACAUAGUCUUCCAUUAUACCCAAAUAGCAAAUUGGCCCAAGUUAGUCAUGCUUGGUGACACUCCAAAACCCUCUAGGAUUCAUAAAGAACCUGCCUCAAGCAAUCAAAGUAUGUGAGAUACCUUGAUCUCACAAAGGGGAUCCUCUCACAAUACCAAUAGUCCUCCUGAUGAUGUUGGAAUGGAAACACUACAAAGAAGAAUGGCUGGCAAGACAUAGUUCUGAUGAUUCAAACUAUGAUAACAACUCUCGAGAUAGUAGAUAGAUCUAUAACAAAAGUUACUAUAGCAUUGGGUCACUAUAGCAAAGUAUUGUAGCAAUAGAUUAGAGAAAUCACUGUUUGCAGUCACUAUUCACAUUAUUUAGAAUAAUUCCCAAUCAGGAAUGUUGGAGCCUUUGUGUUUUAAAACCUAUGAGCUUGGUCUUUAUUUUGUGUGACCUCUUAAUGCCUAUAAAAGGCAAAGAUGAUGUAAUGUUUCGAGUAGAGUCCCUUAAAGUAAAAUGUGUGUUUAUGCAAAUUCUCUCAAUGUCUCUCUAAACACUUUUUAUUCUCUAACUCGAUAGGAUCAUCUGAGAAAUGUAGCUCUACUAAGUUAGAGAUGUUACUAUCCCGGUAUCUUUAAGCGUUUCUAUACUCUAAUCCAAAUUUUCAGAUAGUUUACAACUAAAAAACAGUCCUUUGAAAGUUUGAACAGAGAGGUUUGCCUACGGUAUAGCAUACUCGCUCUGAUUAACUUGGUCUGAGGUUCCAAAGGAAAAAAAAAUCAAAAAAAUAAAAUAUUAUUAAAAAAUUGUCAAUGUAAGUGCCGACCGAUCAAAAUUGACCAGAUAGACUAAAUUAACAUAUAUAUAAAAGGUUUAGGACUGAAUUGAUAAAAAAAAAAAAUUGUUUUAGAAUCAAAUUGGCACUAUUUUAGUAAUUUUUACUCUUUCUAGCAAUAGUGAACAACCAAAUCCUUAUAUUUCCCUUUUGCUUAUCAUUAAAAAAAAAAUUUAACAAAUACCAUCUUUAGAUUUACUCUUCAUGUCAAAUACUCUACUUUGAAAUCCGAUUGAUUAAGCUUUUUCCGAUCUAAGGCCAAUGACGAUGGUGGUGCCGGCUCAAGCCUCGAUUGUUCUUAUGUCAUACUACUGAGAAGUGUGUAUGAGGGGAAACCAGCACCAACUCAAGGUUCGAGCAUUCUUGUGUCAUGCUGCUCAGACAUGCGUAUAAGGAGAAACUAGCCUUUUUUUUUCUUUUUUUCUUUUUUAAAAAGUAGAGAAGAAACUAGCCUUUUUAGUAAGUUGGAGUGGGCUUUGAAAUGUGAUGACCCAUUUGAUACAGUAAAGCAAAGAUUGUCACACCCCGAACCUCGAGCGCGCCAACAUCCCACCAUGGUCAUGCAAAUGCGACAUUCCCAAGUAGUGUCGCCGACCCCAUUCAUUUAUUAUUGCGCAAGCAGAACGUAUUAUAAAACCCCUGACAAUGAAAUACGGGAUAGAAAAGCAGGAAGCAAAUUCACAACCAAUCACUUACAUAAACCAACGGAAUUACAAACAGAGGUCUACGGCCAAAACGUCUACAAAGACCGGCUCUUAAAAAGGAAUUGUCCUACGACCUACAAGUCGGACAUGUUCUCCAAUCCUUAUGACUUCACCUCUGCAACUCCUCAAGGCCAACCAAUGUUAUCUGCCCGCUCCGUCCACCAAGGACCUGAAAUUUUAAUCCCACGACCGAGAUGAGACAUUGUCUCAGCAAGUUCAACCCCCUAAACCCCUAUUAGAAAGAAAAUACGCCCCGGGUGGCCUAGCCACAUCACAUAGAAGACUUACCCCGCAUUAGUUUUCAUCUGCAGGUUAGCACAGUUUGGGUGCGUUUGGUUCAGCAUUUGCAAUGGGCUUUGAGUCCAAUGCAAAUGCUGAAAGCCCAAAGCUACUUGGGAAAAAUGCAGUUGUGUUUAGUAAAAAAAAAUUGCAAAUGGACUUUGAGCUGAAUGUGCAUUUGGUAAAAAAAACUUUCACAAGGGGCUUUGAUGGGUAUUAUUUUUUUUCUUUUUUUUUUUGAAAAUUCAGCUAAACCCUUCGCCGGAUCGGCAAAGGGCUGCGGCCACCGGCAAGCCAGAUCUGGUGCCGUCUGCUGAGGUCGCCCGAGGUCGCGCGACCCCCAGCGAGGGUCGCGCAACCCAGCCGAGGGCCGCCGGAGGUCGCCCGACCUCGGGCGAUCCCCGGCGAGGGUCGCUCGACCCAGCUAAAGGCCGCGCGACCCAGGAGAUUUCCAGCAGACGAGGUUGGGGAAAUUCUGGUGUUGGAGAGGUCCAGAAGAGAGGGAAGAGAAGGGCACUUUGGCAGGGCUCCUCGGCGAUUGAGUAAACGGAAAAUAUUGAAAUGAAGCCUAUGAAAGCUUAGAAGCACGACAUUUUGUGCAAAAUGAAUAGGUUGCUCAUUUUCUCAUAAAAACAAGAAUCUUUGACCUAGGAAACGAACUCAAGAUCAUACCCACGCCAAUGAGCACACAAGAAAAUGGUUAAUGAAAACAGUUAGACUCAUGAGAUGUAACUGGCAUCGGAUGAUCCUUCUAUGNNNNNNNNNNNNNNNNNNNNNNNNNNNNNNNNNNNNNNNNNNNNNNNNNNNNNNNNNNNNNNNNNNNNNNNNNNNNNNNNNNNNNNNNNNNNNNNNNNNNNNNNNNNNNNNNNNNNNNNNNNNNNNNNNNNNNNNNNNNNNNNNNNNNNNNNNNNNNNNNNNNNNNNNNNNNNNNNNNNNNNNNNNNNNNNNNNNNNNNNNNNNNNNNNNNNNNNNNNNNNNNNNNNNNNNNNNNNNNNNNNNNNNNNNNNNNNNNNNNNNNNNNNNNNNNNNNNNNNNNNNNNNNNNNNNNNNNNNNNNNNNNNNNNNNNNNNNNNNNNNNNNNNNNNNNNNNNNNNNNNNNNNNNNNNNNNNNNNNNNNNNNNNNNNNNNNNNNNNNNNNNNNNNNNNNNNNNNNNNNNNNNNNNNNNNNNNNNNNNNNNNNNNNNNNNNNNNNNNNNNNNNNNNNNNNNNNNNNNNNNNNNNNNNNNNNNNNNNNNNNNNNNNNNNNNNNNNNNNNNNNNNNNNNNNNNNNNNNNNNNNNNNNNNNNNNNNNNNNNNNNNNNNNNNNNNNNNNNNNNNNNNNNNNNNNNNNNNNNNNNNNNNNNNNNNNNNNNNNNNNNNNNNNNNNNNNNNNNNNNNNNNNNNNNNNNNNNNNNNNNNNNNNNNNNNNNNNNNNNNNNNNNNNNNNNNNNNNNNNNNNNNNNNNNNNNNNNNNNNNNNNNNNNNNNNNNNNNNNNNNNNNNNNNNNNNNNNNNNNNNNNNNNNNNNNNNNNNNNNNNNNNNNNNNNNNNNNNNNNNNNNNNNNNNNNNNNNNNNNNNNNNNNNNNNNNNNNNNNNNNNNNNNNNNNNNNNNNNNNNNNNNNNNNNNNNNNNNNNNNNNNNNNNNNNNNNNNNNNNNNNNNNNNNNNNNNNNNNNNNNNNNNNNNNNNNNNNNNNNNNNNNNNNNNNNNNNNNNNNNNNNNNNNNNNNNNNNNNNNNNNNNNNNNNNNNNNNNNNNNNNNNNNNNNNNNNNNNNNNNNNNNNNNNNNNNNNNNNNNNNNNNNNNNNNNNNNNNNNNNNNNNNNNNNNNNNNNNNNNNNNNNNNNNNNNNNNNNNNNNNNNNNNNNNNNNNNNNCAUUUUUUUCUUCCUAAACACCGCUCAUCAAAUUUUCAAAUUUUCGAUAUUAUCCCGGCACCCAAUGAUUUCGCGAGACCCAGGCGGCGGUCGCCUGGGUCGCGCGGCCCCUGGGUCGAGUGACCUUGGUCGUCCGGCGGCCCUUGACUGGGUCGCGCGACCCUCGCCGGAGGUCGCCCGACCUCAGGCGACCUUAGCCGACAGCCACUGGCGCCAAAUCUGGCUCGCCAGCGGCCGUUGCCCUUCGCCGGUCCGGCGAAGGCCUACUCCUUUUUCACUUAAAAAAUAAAUAAAUACAGGGAUAAUAACGAAAAUAUGAAAAUUUGAUGAGGGUAGUUUAGGAAGAAAAAAAAUGUUUUCAGCAUUUCCAAGGACUGACUUUCAUUUGAAAGCUCUUUGAGAUUGGUUGCCAAACACCCUUAUUUUGGAUAAAGGGGCUUUGGGGGCUGAAUGGGCUUUCUAAAUGCCCAUCCAAACGCACCCUUUAUAUAAUUCAACCACGUGCAAUUAUGAUAACCAAACAACUAUGGCACAAUCACAUUAUCAUAACAAUUCAACCACUUGGAUCGUCUCAGCGAUCAAUCGACUCAACCGAUUACAUGUCAUUCUAACAAAUCAAUCACUGCUUCCAAUCACGAUCCUAUAGGAAGGUUUAACAACCAGUGGCAAUCACGGCCCCACUCGGUACGACCUUUAAUUAAGUGGUAAAUCUCAGCCCGAUGGGCACGGCCUCUAAUAGGUGGUCAAUCACGGCCUUAUUGGGCACGACCUCUAAUAGAUGGUCAAUCAUGGCCCCACUAGGCACGACCUCUAAUAGUUGGUCAAUCACGGCCCCACUAGGCACAACCUUUAAUAAGUUGUCAAAUACGGUUGUUCUUCCAUUAAAUUUUGACACUUGGGAUUUUAUAAAAAGAAUCCUUAUUUAUCGCAACCACACUCCAUUUACCACAAUCAAUCAUCAAAUUCAAAUUCUAAAUAUACAGCGGCAAUCGGCACGAAAUUCUUAGCAAUCGGAGACAAAAAUAAUUUUUCAGUUUUUUUAUAAAUAAUAUUAUUUUAAUAAUUUCGUAAUAUAAUAUAUUAUUAAAAAUUCCAGAAUUUUGAAACAUUUAAGAAAAUCAAAAAUAAAACCCUAUUAUGUCACAUCAAGGUUUAUUAUUAAAUAAACUCUCUUAGCCUUUAAUUAAACAUGCUUUAAAUUAAACAAAUAUCUUAAUCUAAAUCAAAAUUAAAUAAACUAAACUAACCACCUAAGCUUACUUAACUUAGACUAAGCACACUUAGGGCAUCAUUAACCAUCUAAUCAAGAUUUAGUGAGCUAAACUCACCCGAUUAACGAACCGAGAGGACCAAAACGACGGGGACCCCGAGGGGAUCGACUUUUCUCAAGGGGGGCUGAGCAUCCGGGCUGGGAAGCCGGCUAAAAUGGGCCAAAUGUCUGCUGCCAUACCCAUUUUUCCAGCUGCUGUCCGCUGCUAGUUGAGGCCGAGAAAGGGGCGGAUCCGAGUUCGGUUGGGGCGAGCAAGGGCGGCAAGGGCUAGGUGGAGGUGUACGGCAGCAGAGGGAGCUCCAGUGAUGGCCUGAGCUACUCGAAGAAGUUGCUGGAUCUCGGCUGAAGCAAGGGCGACGACGUGAGGGGGCUGAGACGCGCGAGCAGCACUGCGCGCUAGGACGGCGUCACGGCGACGAACGGCGACGGGUGGAGGCAAGGCUCCAGCUGGUGGCGUGCGACGGCCACGGCUACUCGGUUCCUUCCUCCAUUUUCCGGUCUUCGCACAGCAGAGAUGAAGGGGGAAAUCAACGAGAGAGGGAGAGGAAGGAGAGAGAAGAAGGAGAGAGAGAGAGAGAAAUGGGACCAUUCCAUUUUCUUUUUCUUUUUCUUUAAUCCAACAAAAAUGGCCCACCAUGACCUCAUGUGACAUCACCUUCCACUAAAUUCAAAUCUCCCACAACAAUCUUCAAUGGGUCCAAUUCCAUUUUCCGUCGAGGCAUAAAAUCUUGUACAAUAACUUCUUCAAUUCCACUCGAUUCCCUUCCAAUUGAAUCAAAUUGAAGUCCAUAAAAUUAAUCUAAUGUCACCACACUUCAAUUCACAUCUUCACUUAUCCAUAGAACCAACUUAAGUCCCAAAAGCACGGCCAAAAGCGGGCCUACUAAUUUCUCAAGCCAAAUUAGCCAUUCUCUGAUUUAAUUGCUGAAAAACUCUGAUUACAUGAAAAAUCUUCCGAAGAUGAGUUAAUAUUCCUAAAAUAAUUUGUGACACGCCCAGACUUCCAAUUUCUGAAUUCGAUCUCAAUUUCACAGUUGAUUUCACUCUAGCACGAUAUUAGCGCAUCCUAAUCUACCGAGUAGCUUUUAAAAAUUUGCGUGCAUUUGACCUGUGGUCGAUCAAGCUACAAUGUACAUCUUUGACACAUUGGCGACUCUCGGUUGUCAGGAUAAUCUCAAGGUUUCAAACACGGACUUUGGGUACCCAAUCGACAGAAAAGUCGGUCCAGUGCCGAUCGAUUGUGUGAUCUGGUGGAAUCACCCACACUUAAGCACAUGCCUCUGUCGAGUCGGCCUAUCUCUGAUCUCUAAUCGAUUUUUAAUUGUGCCGUAAUGACCCUUACAGAUUAGCUCGGUCGAAAAGUCGCUUCCUGGUCAAAUUAUCGAGUCUGAUGCAUUAGAAUCUCUUAACGACUUCACCUGAUAAACUAGUUUUCACAUGAGUGGCUGACUCAAGGAAAAGAACUAUAUGGGUGCCAAUGAAAUGCCCAUCUCAAUUUAUUGAAAAUAGAAUUGGAAAAAUCGGGAUGUCACAAAGAUGGUGAUGCUUUUCUAUAAUUAUCUCUUUUAUCGUUAUAUCGUAAGCGCGCGUCCAUUUAAUAUUACUCUUUUUUCUUUUCUCUUUUUCACUCCACUUUCACUUCUUUAGUGUUGCUUUCUUCCACCCAUUUCUCGUUGGUCGAUAUAGAGUUGGUUUUCCAUCUCCGUCGCGCUGCUCUCCGAGGGCUCCCAUAUAGAAAUCCUUUUCCCGUCCGCUUAUUCUGCAGUGAUCUAGGAGGUUUGAUUAAAAAAAGUAAAGGCGUGGAAUUUGGGCUCCAGAGCCUCGUUCAGCAAGACCGGGUACACAUACCGUCUUAGGUCGAAGGUUCUUGUCCCGACUACACCAGGUGGGGACUGUUGUUUUCUUGGCUACAAUCAGACCAAGUGCGCGCUUGGAGAUAAUUCCUUUUCUACCUUUUUCACUCAGACAUUUUAGGGGCUAGCACUUUUAAGGUCCUUCUUUUGUCAAUUCAGAAAGAAAUCAUUGCGAUCGAACCGUUCCUCUUUUAAGAACGAAUGGAGCCGGGCACUCCUCAAAUUUCCCAAAGCUCGAAAAGCCCCGGCUUCGUACCUUCCACGAAACAACCGGGAAUGGGGUUACCCAUUUGAAAAUUCAAUUGACGGGAGAUCUUUCCUAUCGUUUGAUUAGAAAAUUGCUUUGGAGCUAAGCUUCUUCGAAAUGGAAACAAGAACAGGGAAAAAAAUAACCUUGAAAAAUUAAUGCAGACAAAUUUUUUUAUAAUGACACGCAACGUUGAGAUAAAAAAUUUUAUAAUGACACGCAACGUUAUAUUUUUAACGUUGAGAUAUAUUUGAAAAUACUGAAGUCAACCAAAGCGGAUGGUGGAAAAUCUCGUGCGCGCGUUAUGAAGUGAGAAAAAUAAGGGAAUUGGCGACUUCAUCCAUUGUAUCCUUCCACCGUUUAUAAACUAACUUAACAAGGAAUCAAAGCAACCGCUGGAUAAACAAUUGCACUUUUCCUUGUUCACUUCUUCUUACCCAAAUCAAGAAUAUCGGACUUGGGGAAAGGCCAGCGAGCGCCAGCUGCUGGUAAGGGUCGAUGAGAGCUCGACACCCACCGCCAACAACGAGCAAGGGCUCCACGCCCAUCGCCGGCAGCAAGCGAGGGCUCCACGCUCAUCACUGACAAUGGGCAAGGGCCAUCGAGCCCUCGUUGGCCAUGGGGGAGGGGGGCCGUCCAAAUUGAGGCCCUUUAAGAAGGUCCUCGAGGGCAAAAGGGGUAGCCAAAGAAGUCAUUGAUCUAGGAGCGGUGGUGGGAGGAAGGGAUGAAGAAAGCGACGCGAGCAUCCCAGUCGUAGUCUUAUUAGAAGACGAGGUUGUUGGUUGAGCAACGGGCGGAGGUGGGGGUGGUCGCCCCUCACGACCAUCAGCGAGGUCACCCCUCGCCGGCCCUAGAUGAGAGCUCACCCACCUCACCGGCCAUUAAUAAGGGCUUGCAAGCCCUCACCUAUUGCCAGCGAGGGCUCAACGACCCUCGCCAGUCGCAACCGAGGCCACCAUCGCCAGAUCUAACGAGGGUUGGCCUACAAGCCCUCGCCCAUGGCCGACAAGGGAUUGAUGGGCCUCGCCUACUGCCAAUGAUGGGCGUCCAACCUCGCCGAUCCUCACCAAUGGCCAGUGCUCACUGGCCCUUUCCAAGUCCGAUGUUCUUGAGAAGAAGACGAAUAUGGGACGAAAAAGAUGAUGAAUAGUGCCACCAUUGACCCAAAAAAAAAAUAAUAAAGAACAGGACAACUUAAAAUUUUUUUUUAAAAAAAAGGACAAAAAUAUCCCUAAUCAAGCUACCGGAAUAUGCAUCGAAGAUGCAUUUAUUCACCGGCCGGCAAAUGAGGUCCUUCUUUGAGACUAAAUGAUCACUUUGGGUCCUUAUUUGAUACAAACUCCACUCUAGGUCCUCUUUUGAGAAAAUGAAAGCACUUUGAGUCCUUAUUUGAGACAAAUUUCACUUCAAAUUCUCUUUUGAGAAGGCAUUAUAGGUCCUUAUUUGAAAUUUUUCCAAAAAAUAAUGACUUAUAUCGCUUGAAAUAAUUAAUUAAUUAAAAAAACUUCUUUAUCAAUAAUAAUUUAAUCUUUAAUAUUUUGGCAGAUGGUAGGAAAAAAUUUUCAAAUUAUUCAUUUUUUACGAAAGAAAUGAAUUAUUUUGUGAAUAGAUAUAUAAUUUGAUAAAAAAAAUUAUAAAAUAACAGAAGAAAAGACUAGAUGGGCCACAGCAAGAUCACCUCUUAAAUAUCUCCUAAGCCCUAUAUCGUAUCUCUCUCUCUCUCUCUGUAUUGCUCGGAGCUCCAGCCAUGGAAUUCUUCUCUCUCCAGUCCGUUCUCCUCCUCUCCAUCUUCCUCUACCUCUACCUCUCCGUCUUCCGGCCACCUUCCCACAUCAAGCACACCAAGACCCCCGGCUUCCGCCUCUACCCCGUCGUCGGAGUCCUGCCGGACUUCCUCUGGAACCGCCACCGCUUCCUCGACUGGAUGGCCGGCGUCCUCCGCUCCGCCCCCACCAAUACCGUCGUCUUCUGGCGCCCCGGCGGCGUCCGCGGCGUCAUCACCGCGAACCCCGCCGUCGUGGAGCACGCGCUCAAGACCCACUUCGAGAACUACCCGAAGGGCGACAUGUUCAUCGCCCUCCUCCGCGACUUCCUCGGCGAGGGGAUCUUCAACUCCGACGGCGAGCUCUGGCGGGUCCAGCGCAAGACGGCGAGCUACGAGUUCAACACCCGGUCGCUGAGGCAAUUCGUCAUGCACAACGUGACCGUGGAGAUUGAGUCGCGGCUGGUCCCGAUCCUGUCCCGGGCCGAGGCGGCGGGCCGCGUCCUGGACCUGCAGGACCUGCUCGAGCGCUUCGCGUUCGACAACAUAUGCAAGCUCGCCUUCAACGUCGACCCCGGGUGCCUCGUCGGCGACGGCACCGGCGAGGAGGAGUUCAUGCGGGCGUUCGAGGAGGCCGCGAGGAUCAGCUCCGAGCGGUUCUUGUCCGCCUUCCCGCUGCUGUGGGUGUUCAAGAGGCGGCUCAACGUGGGGUCGGAGCGCCGGCUGAGGGAGUCGAUCGCGACCGUCCACGAGUUCGCGGAGGACAUCAUACGGUCGCGGAUGGAAGAGAGCAGGGAGGCUCACGACGAGGAUUUGCUCUCGCGAUUCAUCGGCCACGAAAGCGUAAGCCUGCUCGAUCUUGACACGAUACGUUUCGUUCACAAAUUUUGUUACUUUUCUAUAGUUCAUUGGAUAUUUUCUAUACGUUUUAUCGUGGCAUUUCACAUAAUGUCAAACACCAACAUAAGCCGUCGUUAUCGAAUUCGAAAAUCAAGCUGCGAUCUAGCUUGCUUGAUCGACGAAAGAGCUGCCCGGUUGAUGAAAUUAGCGCGAACUUGUUAAAUCGAAUUUGAUCUGACUACGUGCGGAUCGCCAGGUCUAUGAGAAUGGCUCUGCCUCGACCGAGUUCCUCCGAGACAUCGUGAUCAGCUUCAUCCUCGCGGGGCGCGACACCACGUCGUCGGCUCUGACCUGGUUCUUCUGGCUGCUCUCGCUCCACCCGGAAGUGGAGCGGAAGAUCUUGAGCGAGCUCGAGAAAAUCCGGAAGCAAAACGGGAAGAGUUCUGGCGACCCGUACAGUAUGCAUGAACUGAGGGACAUGCACUACCUGCACGCGGCCAUCUCGGAGGCGAUGCGGUUGUAUCCGCCUGUGCCGGUGGACACAAAGGCCUGCCUGGAGGACGACGUCUUGCC
Molecule: long non-coding RNA, 35174 nt
Filed under: Eucalyptus grandis
Lineage: Eukaryota; Viridiplantae; Streptophyta; Magnoliopsida; Myrtales; Myrtaceae
Description: long non-coding RNA (EGRA_LNC000303)
Source: RNAcentral